This 450-nucleotide ribosomal RNA is filed under the name uncultured bacterium. Its description in RNAcentral is "partial 16S ribosomal RNA". It matches the Rfam family "Bacterial small subunit ribosomal RNA", at positions 354 to 796 of the family's 1533-position model. The record is from RNAcentral.
GUGGGGAAUAUUGGACAAUGGGCGAAAGCCUGAUCCAGCCAUGCCGCGUGUGUGAAGAAGGUCUUCGGAUUGUAAAGCACUUUAAGUUGGGAGGAAGGGUUGUAGAUUAAUACUCUGCAAUUUUGACGUUACCGACAGAAUAAGCACCGGCUAACUUCGUGCCAGCAGCCGCGGUAAUACGAAGGGUGCAAGCGUUAAUCGGAAUUACUGGGCGUAAAGCGCGCGUAGGUGGUUCGUUAAGUUGGAUGUGAAAGCCCCGGGCUCAACCUGGGAACUGCAUCCAAAACUGGCGAGCUAGAGUACGGUAGAGGGUGGUGGAAUUUCCUGUGUAGCGGUGAAAUGCGUAGAUAUAGGAAGGAACACCAGUGGCGAAGGCGACCACCUGGACUGAUACUGACACUGAGGUGCGAAAGCGUGGGGAGCAAACAGGAUUAGAUACCCCUGUAGUCC